AGAGUUGAUCCUGGCUCAGAACGAACGCUGGCGGCGUGCUUAAUACAUGCAAGUCGUGCGAGAAAGUCACUUCGGGUGGUGAGUAAAGCGGCGAACGGGUGAGUAACACGUAAGAAACCUGCCCCUAAAUCCGGAAUAACAUUGCUAACGCGGUGCUAAUACCGGAUGUGGUCUCCAGUUUGCAUGAACAGGAGAUUAAAGGUGACCUCUACUUGUAAGUUAUCGUUUAGGGAUGGUCUUGCGGACCAUUAGCUUGUUGGCGGGGUAACGGCCCACCAAGGCUGCGAUGGUUAGCCGGCUUAAGAGGGUGAUCGGCCACAUUGGGACUGAGAUACGGCCCAGACUCCUACGGGAGGCAGCAGUAGGGAAUUUUGCGCAAUGGACGAAAGUCUGACGCAGCAACGCCGCGUGAGCGAUGAAGGUUUUCGGAUUGUAAAGCUCUGUUGAGUGGGAAGAAAACUCUCCGGGAUAAUACCCCGGAGACUUGACGGUACCACUCGAGGAAGCCCCGGCUAAAUACGUGCCAGCAGCCGCGGUAAUACGUAUGGGGCAAGCGUUGUUCGGAAUCACUGGGCGUAAAGGGAGUGUAGGCGGAAAGGUAAGUUAGAAGUGUAAUCCACGGGCUUAACCCGUGACUCGCUUUUAAUACUGCUUUUCUUGAGUAUGGGAGAGGGAGAUGGAAUUCCAGGUGUAGCGGUGGAAUGCGUAGAUAUCUGGAAGAACACCAGUAGCGAAGGCGGUCUCCUGGCCCAAUACUGACGCUGAGGCUCGAAAGCGUGGGGAGCGAACAGGAUUAGAUACCCUGGUAGUCCACGCC
Molecule: ribosomal RNA, 817 nt
Filed under: uncultured organism
Description: bacterial SSU rRNA
Rfam family: Bacterial small subunit ribosomal RNA
Source: RNAcentral